RNAcentral lists this ribosomal RNA (875 nucleotides) under uncultured marine group I thaumarchaeote. RNAcentral describes it as "bacterial SSU rRNA". It matches the Rfam family "Archaeal small subunit ribosomal RNA", at positions 21 to 903 of the family's 1478-position model. Lineage: Archaea; Thermoproteati; Nitrososphaerota. The record is from RNAcentral.
CCUGACUGCUAUCGGAUUGAUACUAAGCCAUGCGAGUCAUUGUAGCAAUACAAGGCAUACGGCUCAGUAACGCGUAGUCAACCUAACCUAUGGACGGGAAUAACCUCGGGAAACUGAGAAUAAUGCCCGAUAGAACACUAUACCUGGAAUGGUUUGUGUUCCAAAUGAUUUAUCGCCAUAGGAUGGGACUGCGGCCUAUCAGUUUGUUGGUGAGGUAAUGGCCCACCAAGACUAUUACAGGUACGGGCUCUGAGAGGAGUAGCCCGGAGAUGGGUACUGAGACACGGACCCAGGCCCUAUGGGGCGCAGCAGGCGAGAAAACUUUGCAAUGUGCGAAAGCACGACAAGGUUAAUCCGAGUGAUUUGUGCUAAACGAAUCUUUUGUUAGUCCUAGAAACACUAACGAAUAAGGGGUGGGCAAGUUCUGGUGUCAGCCGCCGCGGUAAAACCAGCACCUCAAGUGGUCAGGAUGAUUAUUGGGCCUAAAGCAUCCGUAGCCGGCUCUGUAAGUUUUCGGUUAAAUCUGUACGCUUAACGUACAGGCUGCCGGGAAUACUGCAGAGCUAGGGAGUGGGAGAGGUAGACGGUACUCGGUAGGAAGUGGUAAAAUGCUUUGAUCUAUCGAUGACCACCUGUGGCGAAGGCGGUCUACCAGAACACGUCCGACGGUGAGGGAUGAAAGCUGGGGGAGCAAACCGGAUUAGAUACCCGGGUAGUCCCAGCUGUAAACUAUGCAAACUCAGUGAUGCAUUGGCUUGUGGCCAAUGCAGUGCUGCAGGGAAGCCGUUAAGUUUGCCGCCUGGGAAGUACGUACGCAAGUAUGAAACUUAAAGGAAUUGGCGGGGGAGCACCACGAGGGGUGAAGCCUGCGGUUC